UAUUUCUUAACUUGCCGGAUUUCGCUCGGGACUAAUAAAUUGGGUCCCAGGUAGUUACCAUGAUAGAGCGCAGCCAUUGUUUGGUAUUGGACGUUUUCCUCUAUUUUUGAUCGAGAAGCCGCUCGACGAUCGAGGGGGGAUGGCAAAAGACGGGAAAGAGGGAGAGGCGAUCAGCCGAUCGAAGCAUCGCUCUUGAUCCCUUUUCUUCGUCGAGUUAAAGUGGCUAUGGAGUUUGGUAAUGUGGGCUCAUGCACCUCUUCCUCCCACUCAAGCCCCAAGGGUAAGGGCCAACAGAUCAAGGACUGGUAUGGAGGCGUUUAUCAUCUGUAAAGCAAUCUCAUGGAAGGAUUCUGGCACACAAUCUGCUACAUCAUCCUCCCCUUUGAUCUGGAUGCCAGGGUCCUCCUCUCCCAUGGUUGCCUCAUCAGCCAAGUAGGUGAGGUUUGCUACAAGGACCUGGAUAGAGGAAAACCGCCAUCUGGAGAAGGCAAUAAAGCAUCCAAGGUAUUGUAAUAUAAUAAUGCACAUUAACGAAUGUUGGGCCUGUUUUUCAGGAUUGUGGUGUCGGAGGAAAAGGAGAGAUUUGCGCUCCAAACUCUCGUAUAAUGAAAAGUGUAAUAUAUGUCAUUCUAUGUCCAAACUUCAAUUGCAUCUUAUGCUAACUUUCCCUAUAUCCCUGCCUCAUUUUGUAUUGAGACAUUGCAUGCAAAGAAUAUGUUGUGCUGUUCAAAUGGAAUAAACUUUAUUAAAUAUUUGUUUUGUGCGAGUA
This is a non-coding RNA of Phoenix dactylifera (date palm), 769 nucleotides long. The record is from RefSeq and is a predicted model, not a curated record. Lineage: Eukaryota; Viridiplantae; Streptophyta; Magnoliopsida; Arecales; Arecaceae.